This 366-nucleotide transfer-messenger RNA is filed under the name Bacteriovoracaceae bacterium. It matches the Rfam family "transfer-messenger RNA". From Rfam's summary of the family: Bacterial tmRNA, also known as 10Sa RNA or SsrA, is named for its dual tRNA and mRNA-like properties. Its role is to liberate the mRNA from a stalled ribosome. Lineage: Bacteria; Pseudomonadati; Bdellovibrionota; Bacteriovoracia; Bacteriovoracales; Bacteriovoracaceae. The record is from RNAcentral.
GGGGGUGCCCAGGCUUCGACAGGGAUGAAUCAACGAAUUGAGUGCGUGUCUAGGUUGGUCGGAAGGCCUAGUAAAAAUCCGACCAAACUUUAUCUGGCGAAGAAAACUUUGCUAUGGCUGCCUAGUCGAACGACUACUGCAACAUUGAGGGGCUAGUCCCAAGAAACAGAAACUAGCACAGCAGGUUCUUGGUCCUGGUUAAAAAAAUCAAGGGAGAGUUGGCCGGGAGAACGCCUUACAAAUCACCGGGUUUUUUUACUUUGACAAAAGUAUAACGGCCGCUUCAAGCCUCAGCGAAGCUACACACGUAGGACUCUCUUUCAGCGGCAUCUUUGGACGCGGGUUCGAUUCCCGCCACCUCCACCA